Molecule: ribosomal RNA, 370 nt
Filed under: uncultured organism
Description: bacterial SSU rRNA
Rfam family: Bacterial small subunit ribosomal RNA
Source: RNAcentral
CGGAGGGUGUCAAGCGUUUAUCCGGAUUCACUGGGUUUAAGGGUGCGUAGGAGGGCAGGUAAGUCAGUGGUGAAAUCCCCGAGUCUUAACUUGGGAACUGCCGUUGAUACUAUCUGUCUUGAAUAUUGUGGAGGUAAGCGGAAUAUGUCAUGUAGCGGUGAAAUGCUUAGAUAUGACAUAGAACACCAAUUGCGAAGGCAGCUUGCUACACAACUAUUGACUCUGAUGCACGAAAGCGUGGGGAUCAAACAGGAUUAGAUACCCUGGUAGUCCACGCCCUAAACGAUGGAUACUCGACAUCAGCGAUACACAGUUGGUGUCUGAGCGAAAGCAUUAAGUAUCCCACCUGGGAAGUACGACCGCAAGGUUG